Molecule: non-coding RNA, 75 nt
Filed under: chicken gut metagenome
Description: Glycine riboswitch
Rfam family: Glycine riboswitch aptamer
About the family: This family represents the bacterial glycine riboswitch.
Source: RNAcentral
AUACAGGAGAGACCGCAUGUGAACGCGGCGCCGAAGGGGAAGGUGCAGAAAACUCUCAGGCAGAGGGACUGUAUC